AAUAAAUCGACUGAAAAUAUCAAAAUCCCAAAAUACUUUCAAUACAGGAUGAAACAAUGUGAACGAAGUUAAAUAAUGGAAGUAUAACACAAAAUCAAAGUGCACAUCCGAAAAAAAA
This is a long non-coding RNA of Bombus impatiens (common eastern bumble bee), 118 nucleotides long. RefSeq lists it as uncharacterized. The transcript is spliced from 2 exons. The record is from RefSeq and is a predicted model, not a curated record. NCBI's taxonomy places the organism in Eukaryota, Metazoa, Arthropoda, Insecta, Hymenoptera, Apidae.